AGCGAACGCUGGCGGCGUACUUAACACAUGCAAGUCGAACGAGGAUCAUCGGGUUAGCAAUAAUUCGGUGGUCCUAGUGGCGCACGGGUGAGUAACACGUGGGUGACCUGCCCUUGAGCUCGGGAUACCCCCUCGAAAGGGGGCGUAAUACCGGAUACGUUCCUCGGUCGAAAGACUGAGGAGGAAAGGUGGCGCAAGCUGCCGCUCUUGGAGGGGCUCGCGGCCUAUCAGCUAGUUGGCGGGGUAACGGCCCACCAAGGCUAUGACGGGUAGCUGGUCUGAGAGGACGACCAGCCACACGGGGACUGAGACACGGCCCCGACUCCUACGGGAGGCAGCAGUGGGGAAUCUUGCGCAACGGUCGAAAGACUGACGCAGCGACGCCGCGUGCGGGAGGAAGCCCUUCGGGGUGUAACCGCUGUUACUCGGGACGAACUUCUCGAUUCAUCGAGAUU
Molecule: ribosomal RNA, 455 nt
Filed under: uncultured bacterium
Lineage: Bacteria
Description: bacterial SSU rRNA
Rfam family: Bacterial small subunit ribosomal RNA
Source: RNAcentral